GGUGGCUUAGUGAUAAGAGUACUUGCCUUGCAUGCAUGAGGCCCUGGGUUCGAUUCCUCAGCACCA
Dipodomys ordii (Ord's kangaroo rat) is the source of this 66-nucleotide non-coding RNA. The record is from Rfam. NCBI's taxonomy places the organism in Eukaryota, Metazoa, Chordata, Mammalia, Rodentia, Heteromyidae.